CGAACGAAGCGAUCAGGAGGAAAUUUUCGGAUGGAAUCCGGAUUGACUGAGUGGCGGACGGGUGAGUAACGCGUGGGUAACCUGCCUCAUACAGGGGGAUAACAGUUAGAAAUGACUGCUAAUACCGCAUAAGCGCACGGGGAUGCAUAUCUUUGUGUGAAAAACUCCGGUGGUAUGAGAUGGACCCGCGUCUGAUUAGCUAGUUGGUGAGGUAACGGCUCACCAAGGCGACGAUCAGUAGCCGACCUGAGAGGGUGACCGGCCACAUUGGGACUGAGACACGGCCCAAACUCCUACGGGAGGCAGCAGUGGGGAAUAUUGCACAAUGGGGGAAACCCUGAUGCAGCAACGCCGCGUGAGUGAAGAAGUAUUUCGGUAUGUAAAGCUCUAUCAGCAGGGAAGAAAAUGACGGUACCUGAGUAAGAAGCCCCGGCUAACUACGUGCCAGCAGCCGCGGUAAUACGUAGGGGGCAAGCGUUAUCCGGAUUUACUGGGUGUAAAGGGAGCGUAGACGGCGAUGCAAGUCUGAAGUGAAAGCCCGGGGCUCAACCCCGGGACUGCUUUGGAAACUGUAUGGCUGGAGUGCUGGAGAGGCAAGCGGAAUUCCUAGUGUAGCGGUGAAAUGCGUAGAUAUUAGGAAGAACACCAGUGGCGAAGGCGGCUUGCUGGACAGUAACUGACGUUGAGGCUCGAAAGCGUGGGGA
Molecule: ribosomal RNA, 704 nt
Filed under: uncultured bacterium
Lineage: Bacteria
Description: bacterial SSU rRNA
Rfam family: Bacterial small subunit ribosomal RNA
Source: RNAcentral